Molecule: ribosomal RNA, 265 nt
Filed under: uncultured archaeon
Lineage: Archaea
Description: partial 16S ribosomal RNA
Rfam family: Archaeal small subunit ribosomal RNA
Source: RNAcentral
ACACGACUACAUUAGAUACCCGUGUAGUCCUAGCCGUAAACGAUACUCGCUAGGUGUCGGCCACGGUGCGACCGUUGUCGGUGCCGUAGGGAAGCCGUGAAGCGAGCCACCUGGGAAGUACGGCCGCAAGGGUGAAACUUAAAGGAAUUGGCGGGGGAGCACCACAACGGGUGGAGCUUGCGGUUUAAUUGGAUUCAACGCCGGAAAUCUUACCGGGACCGACAGCAACAUGAAGGCCAGGCUGAAGACUUUGCCGGAUUAGCUG